Molecule: ribosomal RNA, 497 nt
Filed under: uncultured bacterium
Lineage: Bacteria
Description: partial 16S ribosomal RNA
Rfam family: Bacterial small subunit ribosomal RNA
Source: RNAcentral
GAUGAACGCUGGCGGCGUGCCUAAUACAUGCAAGUCGAGCGAACGGACGAGAAGCUUGCUUCUCUGAUGUUAGCGGCGGACGGGUGAGUAACACGUGGAUAACCUACCUAUAAGACUGGGAUAACUUCGGGAAACCGGAGCUAAUACCGGAUGAUAUUUUGAACCGCAUGGUUCAAAAGUUAAAGACGGUCUUGCUGUCACUUAUAGAUGGAUCGGCGCUGCAUUAGCUAGUUGGUAAGGUAACGGCUUACCAAGGCAACGAUGCAUAGCCGACCUGAGAGGGUGAUCAGCCACACUGGAACUGAGACACGGUCCAGACUCCUACGGGAGGCAGCAGUAGGGAAUCUUCCGCAAUGGGCGAAAGCCUGACGGAGCAACGCCGCGUGAGUGAUGAAGGUCUUCGGAUCGUAAAACUCUGUUAUUAGGGAAGAACAUAUGUGUAAUUAACUGUGCACAUAUUGACGGUACCUAAUCAGAAAGCCACGGCUAACUACGUG